GGGUUGUGAGGUUAAGCGACUAAGCGUACACGGUGGAUGCCCUGGCAGUCAGAGGCGAUGAAGGACGUGCUAAUCUGCGAUAAGCGUCGGUAAGGUGAUAUGAACCGUUAUAACCGGCGAUUUCCGAAUGGGGAAACCCAGUGUGAUUCGUCACACUAUCAUUAACUGAAUCCAUAGGUUAAUGAGGCGAACCGGGGGAACUGAAACAUCUAAGUACCCCGAGGAAAAGAAAUCAACCGAGAUUCCCCCAGUAGCGGCGAGCGAACGGGGAGCAGCCCAGAGCCUGAAUCAGUGUGUGUGUUAGUGGAAGCGUCUGGAAAGGCGUGCGAUACAGGGUGACAGCCCCGUACACAAAAAUGCACAUAUUGUGAGCUCGAUGAGUAGGGCGGGACACGUGGUAUCCUGUCUGAAUAUGGGGGGACCAUCCUCCAAGGCUAAAUACUCCUGACUGACCGAUAGUGAACCAGUACCGUGAGGGAAAGGCGAAAAGAACCCCGGCGAGGGGAGUGAAAAAGAACCUGAAACCGUGUACGUACAAGCAGUGGGAGCACAGAGCAAUCUGUGUGACUGCGUACCUUUUGUAUAAUGGGUCAGCGACUUAUAUUCUGUAGCAAGGUUAACCGAAUAGGGGAGCCGAAGGGAAACCGAGUCUUAACUGGGCGUUAAGUUGCAGGGUAUAGACCCGAAACCCGGUGAUCUAGCCAUGGGCAGGUUGAAGGUUGGGUAACACUAACUGGAGGACCGAACCGACUAAUGUUGAAAAAUUAGCGGAUGACUUGUGGCUGGGGGUGAAAGGCCAAUCAAACCGGGAGAUAGCUGGUUCUCCCCGAAAGCUAUUUAGGUAGCGCCUCGUGAAUUCAUCUCCGGGGGUAGAGCACUGUUUCGGCAAGGGGGUCAUCCCGACUUACCAACCCGAUGCAAACUGCGAAUACCGGAGAAUGUUAUCACGGGAGACACACGGCGGGUGCUAACGUCCGUCGUGAAGAGGGAAACAACCCAGACCGCCAGCUAAGGUCCCAAAGUCAUGGUUAAGUGGGAAACGAUGUGGGAAGGCCCAGACAGCCAGGAUGUUGGCUUAGAAGCAGCCAUCAUUUAAAGAAAGCGUAAUAGCUCACUGGUCGAGUCGGCCUGCGCGGAAGAUGUAACGGGGCUAAACCAUGCACCGAAGCUGCGGCAGCGACGCUUAUGCGUUGUUGGGUAGGGGAGCGUUCUGUAAGCCUGCGAAGGUGUGCUGUGAGGCAUGCUGGAGGUAUCAGAAGUGCGAAUGCUGACAUAAGUAACGAUAAAGCGGGUGAAAAGCCCGCUCGCCGGAAGACCAAGGGUUCCUGUCCAACGUUAAUCGGGGCAGGGUGAGUCGACCCCUAAGGCGAGGCCGAAAGGCGUAGUCGAUGGGAAACAGGUUAAUAUUCCUGUACUUGGUGUUACUGCGAAGGGGGGACGGAGAAGGCUAUGUUGGCCGGGCGACGGUUGUCCCGGUUUAAGCGUGUAGGCUGGUUUUCCAGGCAAAUCCGGAAAAUCAAGGCUGAGGCGUGAUGACGAGGCACUACGGUGCUGAAGCAACAAAUGCCCUGCUUCCAGGAAAAGCCUCUAAGCAUCAGGUAACAUCAAAUCGUACCCCAAACCGACACAGGUGGUCAGGUAGAGAAUACCAAGGCGCUUGAGAGAACUCGGGUGAAGGAACUAGGCAAAAUGGUGCCGUAACUUCGGGAGAAGGCACGCUGAUAUGUAGGUGAAGUCCCUCGCGGAUGGAGCUGAAAUCAGUCGAAGAUACCAGCUGGCUGCAACUGUUUAUUAAAAACACAGCACUGUGCAAACACGAAAGUGGACGUAUACGGUGUGACGCCUGCCCGGUGCCGGAAGGUUAAUUGAUGGGGUUAGCGCAAGCGAAGCUCUUGAUCGAAGCCCCGGUAAACGGCGGCCGUAACUAUAACGGUCCUAAGGUAGCGAAAUUCCUUGUCGGGUAAGUUCCGACCUGCACGAAUGGCGUAAUGAUGGCCAGGCUGUCUCCACCCGAGACUCAGUGAAAUUGAACUCGCUGUGAAGAUGCAGUGUACCCGCGGCAAGACGGAAAGACCCCGUGAACCUUUACUAUAGCUUGACACUGAACAUUGAGCCUUGAUGUGUAGGAUAGGUGGGAGGCUUUGAAGUGUGGACGCCAGUCUGCAUGGAGCCGACCUUGAAAUACCACCCUUUAAUGUUUGAUGUUCUAACGUUGACCCGUAAUCCGGGUUGCGGACAGUGUCUGGUGGGUAGUUUGACUGGGGCGGUCUCCUCCUAAAGAGUAACGGAGGAGCACGAAGGUUGGCUAAUCCUGGUCGGACAUCAGGAGGUUAGUGCAAUGGCAUAAGCCAGCUUGACUGCGAGCGUGACGGCGCGAGCAGGUGCGAAAGCAGGUCAUAGUGAUCCGGUGGUUCUGAAUGGAAGGGCCAUCGCUCAACGGAUAAAAGGUACUCCGGGGAUAACAGGCUGAUACCGCCCAAGAGUUCAUAUCGACGGCGGUGUUUGGCACCUCGAUGUCGGCUCAUCACAUCCUGGGGCUGAAGUAGGUCCCAAGGGUAUGGCUGUUCGCCAUUUAAAGUGGUACGCGAGCUGGGUUUAGAACGUCGUGAGACAGUUCGGUCCCUAUCUGCCGUGGGCGCUGGAGAACUGAGGGGGGCUGCUCCUAGUACGAGAGGACCGGAGUGGACGCAUCACUGGUGUUCGGGUUGUCAUGCCAAUGGCACUGCCCGGUAGCUAAAUGCGGAAGAGAUAAGUGCUGAAAGCAUCUAAGCACGAAACUUGCCCCGAGAUGAGUUCUCCCUGACUCCUUGAGAGUCCUGAAGGAACGUUGAAGACGACGACGUUGAUAGGCCGGGUGUGUAAGCGCAGCGAUGCGUUGAGCUAACCGGUACUAAUGAACCGUGAGGCUUAACCUUACAACGCCGAAGGUGUUU
RNAcentral lists this ribosomal RNA (2933 nucleotides) under Escherichia coli. RNAcentral describes it as "23S ribosomal RNA". It matches the Rfam family "Bacterial large subunit ribosomal RNA". Lineage: Bacteria; Pseudomonadati; Pseudomonadota; Gammaproteobacteria; Enterobacterales; Enterobacteriaceae. The record is from RNAcentral.